RNAcentral lists this ribosomal RNA (720 nucleotides) under Triticum aestivum (bread wheat). Its description in RNAcentral is "partial small subunit ribosomal RNA". Lineage: Eukaryota; Viridiplantae; Streptophyta; Magnoliopsida; Poales; Poaceae. The record is from RNAcentral.
AUGUCGGCGACAUAUACCCGGUCUCAGCUCUCGCCAUGCCCUGCUGGUGAUCACCCUCUACAUCCUAAGCACUGCCAGAUCCUUGCCGUUUUUUGCAUCAGAGAGUUCACCCAGAGAGCCCAUAACCGGCCGCCGCUCAUCGGUACCGUGUUCCGGCAGCUCAACAACUUUGACAAGAUCUUCAAUGAGCAUGUGAAGUAUGCACUCCUGCAACCCACCAUCAGGCUUGUCUAUCCAGGGCACAGUGAGAUCUUAACCGCCGACCCUGCCGUCAUCGAGCAUGUCCUCAAGACAAACUUCAGUAAAUACAGCAGGUACUGUGGUGGUAGAUGCUUCAGUCUGCAGACGGGGACAAGUAAUGGCUUCCUCCUCUACGGCCGCCCGCGCCGCCGCCAUUUCCGCCGUGAGACGGGCCUCGGUGGCCCUUAUCCUCUCCUUCCCACGGUGGGCCGCCCGUUCCCAGGGGACUCCUACUCUGCCCAACCGGUGACGUGGAAGGAGUGGUCGCAACCCGCCGGAGGUGAGCUCGGGUGGUGGAGGGGAGUGGAGGGGACUAGACUGAAGUGGCUAGGGUUUAGUCCGGCGAGACGAUGGGGACGAAUACAAGUGGGGUCGGGUGGGCUAGCAUUGGGCGGAUCUGACGUGGCAGGUGUGCUCGGAAGCGCCCGGGCGUCCCGGAUAUGGGGUGCCGGUCAGCCUGGAAGUUUGAGGGCCUUUUAA